UCCCUGGUGGUCCAGUGGUUAGGACUCCAUGCUUUCACUCCUGAGGGUCCAGGUUCAAUUCCUGGUCUGGGUA
This is a transfer RNA of Ovis aries (sheep), 73 nucleotides long. It matches the Rfam family "tRNA". Rfam says of the family: Transfer RNA (tRNA) molecules are approximately 80 nucleotides in length. Their secondary structure includes four short double-helical elements and three loops (D, anti-codon, and T loops). Further hydrogen bonds mediate the characteristic L-shaped molecular structure. tRNAs have two regions of fundamental functional importance: the anti-codon, which is responsible for specific mRNA codon recognition, and the 3' end, to which the tRNAs corresponding amino acid is attached (by aminoacyl-tRNA synthetases). tRNAs cope with the degeneracy of the genetic code in two manners: having more than one tRNA (with a specific anti-codon) for a particular amino acid; and 'wobble' base-pairing, i.e. permitting non-standard base-pairing at the 3rd anti-codon position. The record is from Rfam. Lineage: Eukaryota; Metazoa; Chordata; Mammalia; Artiodactyla; Bovidae.